UACGAAGGGGGCUAGCGUUGUUCGGAAUUACUGGGCGUAAAGCGCACGUAGGCGGAUUGUUAAGUCGAACGUGAAAUCCCUGGGCUCAACCCAGGAACUGCGUCCGAUACUGGCAGGCUUGAAUCCGGGAGAGGGAUGUGGAAUUCCAGGUGUAGCGGUGAAAUGCGUAGAUAUCUGGAGGAACACCGGUGGCGAAGGCGGCAUCCUGGACCGGUAUUGACGCUGAGGCGCGAAAGCCAGGGGAGCAAACGGG
RNAcentral lists this ribosomal RNA (253 nucleotides) under uncultured bacterium. Its description in RNAcentral is "partial 16S ribosomal RNA". It matches the Rfam family "Bacterial small subunit ribosomal RNA", at positions 524 to 776 of the family's 1533-position model. The record is from RNAcentral.